This 910-nucleotide ribosomal RNA is filed under the name Staphylococcus aureus. RNAcentral's name for it is "partial 23S ribosomal RNA". It matches the Rfam family "Bacterial large subunit ribosomal RNA", at positions 339 to 1256 of the family's 2925-position model. The record is from RNAcentral. Lineage: Bacteria; Bacillati; Bacillota; Bacilli; Caryophanales; Staphylococcaceae.
CAUCUGGAAAGAUGAAUCAAAGAAGGUAAUAAUCCUGUAGUCGAAAAUGUUGUCUCUCUUGAGUGGAUCCUGAGUACGACGGAGCACGUGAAAUUCCGUCGGAAUCUGGGAGGACCAUCUCCUAAGGCUAAAUACUCUCUAGUGACCGAUAGUGAACCAGUACCGUGAGGGAAAGGUGAAAAGCACCCCGGAAGGGGAGUGAAAUAGAACCUGAAACCGUGUGCUUACAAGUAGUCAGAGCCCGUUAAUGGGUGAUGGCGUGCCUUUUGUAGAAUGAACCGGCGAGUUACGAUUUGAUGCAAGGUUAAGCAGUAAAUGUGGAGCCGUAGCGAAAGCGAGUCUGAAUAGGGCGUUUAGUAUUUGGUCGUAGACCCGAAACCAGGUGAUCUACCCUUGGUCAGGUUGAAGUUCAGGUAACACUGAAUGGAGGACCGAACCGACUUACGUUGAAAAGUGAGCGGAUGAACUGAGGGUAGCGGAGAAAUUCCAAUCGAACCUGGAGAUAGCUGGUUCUCUCCGAAAUAGCUUUAGGGCUAGCCUCAAGUGAUGAUUAUUGGAGGUAGAGCACUGUUUGGACGAGGGGCCCCUCUCGGGUUACCGAAUUCAGACAAACUCCGAAUGCCAAUUAAUUUAACUUGGGAGUCAGAACAUGGGUGAUAAGGUCCGUGUUCGAAAGGGAAACAGCCCAGACCACCAGCUAAGGUCCCAAAAUAUAUGUUAAGUGGAAAAGGAUGUGGCGUUGCCCAGACAACUAGGAUGUUGGCUUAGAAGCAGCCAUCAUUUAAAGAGUGCGUAAUAGCUCACUAGUCGAGUGACACUGCGCCGAAAAUGUACCGGGGCUAAACAUAUUACCGAAGCUGUGGAUUGUCCUUUGGACAAUGGUAGGAGAGCGUUCUAAGGGCGUUGAAGC